ACGCGAGGAGGUAGGAGAAUUGCAAUAAGAAACUCAUCUUUUAUAUCACCCCUUUCCAAAUAGUAGUAUCCUUCAUUUUGAAUAUCCUGGGGAAGAAGUGUUGUUGAAGCGAAGGCUUUGUGAAAACCAAAACCCUCUCCGCUAGAAGACUCGCGGACCUACUCACUGUUUCCGGCGAUUACCCUAUCACGGUACGCCCAAAUUUCAGUAUCUCUAUGUUCUGCUUACACACACUCUCUCAUCUCGAUAUCCGUUUGUUUGUUUGAUUCAGAUGCAUCAGAAUAGUGGAGCCGCCGAUUUGGCUCAGCUUCAAGCCACCAUGCAAGCAAUCGAAUUCGCUUGCACUUCUAUUCAGGUCAUUUUGUCAACUAGUUUUGUCAUAUCUGAAAUCAAUUCAACUGCUAAACCAUAUUUGCCAUGUUCCGUUGCAAUCAAGAUGUAUAGGUGCUGUAACUGUUGUUGGUUUGGUAUGUACUGCUUUUAGCAGCCAUGUUUUCUCGAGUAACUUCUCUUUACCAAACCAAAUGAUCUAAAGCACAACCUAUGCGGUGAAAUUAAGUGAUGGCAAGUUCUAAGUGAGUGCUAAACAUUUUGGUUUAUGCCUUCUUUAGUUGAGAAUUGUGAAAUUAAGUUAGUCUAGUCGUAUUUAUCUGAAGAAUUUAUUCUUGUGGUAUUGGAUGUUGUAUAAUUCUAAAGGCCUUAUAAAAUUGAAAUAGGUCCCCUUUCCAUUCUUUUCCCUUUUGCUGCUGAUGGGUUCCAGAGACGAGCUUCAGUGCCACACAAUUUACUUGAUGAUUGUUCUCCAUGAUUUAUUAAUCCUCAUAACCAUA
RNAcentral lists this long non-coding RNA (830 nucleotides) under Nicotiana tabacum (common tobacco). Its description in RNAcentral is "long non-coding RNA (NTAB_LNC000278)". The record is from RNAcentral. Lineage: Eukaryota; Viridiplantae; Streptophyta; Magnoliopsida; Solanales; Solanaceae.